Molecule: long non-coding RNA, 1000 nt
Organism: Raphanus sativus (radish)
Lineage: Eukaryota; Viridiplantae; Streptophyta; Magnoliopsida; Brassicales; Brassicaceae
Exons: 4
Source: RefSeq, a predicted model, not a curated record
UUCAAUCGUCUCUGAGAUUCCUGUAACGUCUUCGUUUUUAUUAAAAUCGAUCUUUACUUCCAUCAUAAGUUUCAUCCCACCUCUCUUCCCACACAGUCUCAUUUACUCUCAUUAACGAGUGGCGUCCAGGCUCAGUGAAGAUAAUCGCCUCCGCCUAUAUAUUGGUAAGUUGAGUUCGAUGAACAUCCUCACCGCUACACAACCAGAAAGGAUCAACUCUGUCAACGAAAAACUGCAACAAUUGCGAUUAGCUUAUGAAUCAGAUUGAUGUGAUCUUGCUCUUGCUCGGAAGCUCCAAGAACAGGUUUGGAUUUCAGGAGCUGGCGUAUAUGAUGCUGAUUGUGAACAGUGAAGCCAGUGACUAUGAGAGCUAGGAAACUGAAAGCCAAGUAUACAAUGAGGUUGAAGAUGAAGACAUAUGAAACCGAGGAGAUCCUACAGAAGAUGCGCCAGAUUUGAUGCCCAUGAAGAUGAUAAAGAAGACACCGAAGAAGUUGUUUAUUCAGAUGAUGAAGCCAUGCUAGAGCUCUCUAGGGAGCUUAGGAAAGGGAAAUGGCAGAUAGACAUGUCCUUCUUAUCUAGGUAUUAAGUAUCCGGAGGAUGAGGAUACUUCUAAGACAGUGGUGAUCAGCGUAGCAUGGAGACUGAUUCCUGUGCGGAGUCACAUACAGAACUAUCAAGAUUCAUAUUCAAGUCAGAACGGUCGAGAAAGCAAGCGGCGGGGGUGGUUGUUCAAAGAAGAUAAACAAAAUAAUUUGCUUCAAGACGUAUCAGGACAAGCUUUUGGCGAGCAAUAGAGAUCACAUCUCACCUCAUGACCUUCGUGAUCCAACAACCCCAAGUAGAUCAUGAGAUGCUUACACUCGUCGAUAUCAAUCUCCCAGCUCAUAAUAAUGAGUGGAUCAGUCAUUAUUAUCAUUUCCUCUCUGUUUUUCAUAUCUUUGCUAUGUUCACGAAUAAUUUUGGGUCCAAAGAUAAAACUAAAGCCUUUUCCAUUAUU